Molecule: long non-coding RNA, 1867 nt
Organism: Anguilla anguilla (European eel)
Lineage: Eukaryota; Metazoa; Chordata; Actinopteri; Anguilliformes; Anguillidae
Exons: 2
Source: RefSeq, a predicted model, not a curated record
CUCCAACCACAGGCACAGGAUCCAUUACAACUGAGGGGAAGACACUAAACCACCUAGGUUCUACAGUCAAAUUUAAAGUCUCACCUGCAUACAAGCCAGUCUAACAAACAAUUCAUAAAAAACCAUUGUGGGUGACAUGUCUCUCUGUCUCUUCCCAAAACUAUGCAUAUGCCUCCAACCACACCUAUGUGAGCUCACUUAAAGGGCUAGUUCACAUAUUUUAGACCCAGAUCCAUUGAGUUUUUCACCGCAAAUUAUGUAAUAAAUCGGGCUCAAGCCCUCCGAAAUUGAGUACACGUAAAAAAUGUGAACUAUCCCUUUAAGGCUUAAAUUAACUCAACAAAAGACAUAGAUGUCUUAAGAUCUUAUCAUACUGAAGUUUCAAUAUGAGAACAGAAUCUGAAUUAAAUCUGAAAACGGAUUACACCAGACACAUUGAAUCUGAGAGCAGACUACAUCAGACACAUUGAAUCUGAGAGCAGACUACAUCAGACACAUUGAAUCUGAGAACAGGCUACAUCAGACACAUUGAAUCUGACAACAGGCUACAUCAGACUCAGUAACCAUAUGUUCUCUCUCACACAGGAUGGAGCACUGAGACAGUGGUCAGGGUGGUGAUUGUAGUGCUGGCCACCCUGGGAAUGCUAAAGGUUCUUAUGUGGUACUGCAGGAGACGCCCAGCAAGUGAGCUUGACAACCAAGAGUCAGCACAGCCUGAGGAGUGAUCAUAUCAGCAAAGCCCUAGAGGACCAAUGCAAUGGAGAGCUUCCCUCAUAUGUACAGCUCCCAUUGAUGUGUAUAAAUACGUCUUUAAGCUGUGCAGAAUUUAGCCUUCAAAAAGGAAGAGAACAGAUAGGAACGUUUUUCAAUUUUAAUAAAACAUAAAGAGCAUAUUGUAAAAUGCAAAAUAUUUUCAUUUUAAAGAACCAUUAUUAGUGCUGGUCAAAUAUAUAACAGACACAACCAACUCCCAUUUCACCUAUCAUUAACAAAAGGGCUUCAGCCUACAGCUGACUGGCUGAUCAACAGGAACCAUCAGAACUGUCAUCUCUCCUGAUUGAUGUGUGUUGCUAUACCAACGCAGAAAGUAUUUAUGAGUGAUCAAAACAUCCUUUUCUGUCUUCCCACUCAAGGAUUCUCUGAUUAUGUUGUUAAUUUUCUAAAACUUUUUUUUUUACUUCUUCACACGGAUCUCACAGAUCUUUAUUGUUAAGUAUUCCAUUUUGCUGGAUUUAGCUAAAUCUGUGGUGACUGGUGGUCAAAAAUGUUUGUAUUCACGCUCCAAAUACCAUAGUUCAAAUCUAGCUGAAGAUACUUCUAGGAGCACGUUGCGUGCAUAUUUUUCUUAAAAGAUUAAUCCAGCGGUAGUGUACUUUGGAGAACGAUAGAGACACACCGUAAUAUUGACCCACAUAUCAAACCUAAUUUGAAUGGUGCUUUUUGGAGUUUUGGUCAAGUUCAAGUUCCUUUGCGUGUGUCAUCACAUGUGAACACUUGGCAGGACUGUUGCACCCAACAGCAUUUAGCCUAUAAAAGAGCAAUUACAGAAUCCAAACCCAGUGAAAUGAUGUUGCCACAAAAACUCCAUCAUUUAAAGGAUUAACACUUUAAUUGCUGUAUAUUACUUACAUCUCCAGUUCUUGAAAAAUGACAGAAAAUGUUUGUUUUAAAAGGUUAUUUUAUAGUGUUUUCGGUUCAAAUGCUAUUGCAUUCUUUAAUAAUUAUUAUGCUUGGGAUGUGCACAAUACCUAGUUGUUUAUCGCUAAUUUAUUCAUGAUGCUUUUGUGAGUUAAUUUUAUCUUAGUUAUAAAUAGCUCAGCAUACAAAUAUCACUGUCAAAAUAAAAAUGUGUUGAUUUGUUGAUUUA